RNAcentral lists this ribosomal RNA (1134 nucleotides) under Triticum aestivum (bread wheat). Its description in RNAcentral is "partial small subunit ribosomal RNA". The record is from RNAcentral. Lineage: Eukaryota; Viridiplantae; Streptophyta; Magnoliopsida; Poales; Poaceae.
AUGAGCAACAUCUCUCCUUCUUUCAGCGCCCCCACCCUUCUGGCCACGUCCUCCUCCCUUCGUCAUUUCUUUCCUCUCGCCGGCAGCCAGAGCACCAAGCAUGCCAUCCCCUCUACCCGUCCCAAGCCUCCUAUGAACCGCAUCAAUAUUACCCACUUCAUCAAUUUCAAGCUAGAUCCCGCCGCAAACAACUAUGCUCAGUGGACGCAGAAGUUCUACGCUAUCCUCACCAAAUACGACUGUGCCCACCAUGUCGACCACGAGUCUGAUCCUCGUCUUCAAGAUGCCAAGUGGCGCAACGACGAUCUGACCAUUGUUUUGUGGUUCUAUGCUACCAUUUGCGAUGAGCUCUAUCAAGUGGUGAGGGAGCCGGAGAACACCGCGUAUACUGUUUGGGACAAGUUGUACACCUUCUUCCGGGACAACCAGCCCGGAUGGGCCGUCCACAUCCGCGAAGAGUUAAGCGCCACUGAGCAAGGAGACAUGACGCUGGCCGCCUACUGCAAUCGGAUUAAGGCCCUCGCUGACGCCCUCGCCGAUGCGGGUGAACCAGUCAGCAAUGAGAUGUUGACAUUGCAAAUGAUCCGAGGACUCAACAACCGCUUCCAUGUGUUGGCAACUACUCUUCCCAUGCACAGGCCUUUUCCUACCUUUAUCCAGGUCCGUUCCCUGCUGUUGUUUGAAGAAAUCAAUCUUAAUGCGCGUGACAGGGCCAAGGGAUCCUCCACCAUCACCAUUGGCACCAACACCGGCUCCAGCUCCACCCUCGGUGGAAGCAACAAUGGGAAUCAAGGCGAUCGCAACGCUUUUUCUAACACCCGGCCUCGACAUUCGGCACAACCACAACAACGACCCUGGAUGGGCUACUUUGCGCCAUGGGGGGCGCCCUUCCCGUUUCCGAGGCAGCCGCCGCACACUCAGUGGGCCCCUCGAAGCGUCGGCGGCGUCCUCAACCCACGCCCAUCUGCUCCAACUCAGGGAUACUCGUUGCUCUACUCCAUGGCAUCCAUCUUUAUGCCGUCGCCUCCCUCGCGACACCGGUUCUCCGUGAUCGACGCGGCGCCCGGCAACACAAGCUCCACCCCUCCUCCAACAAUGACUAGUACAUGGACUAUGCCGCGUAAUCGCAUGUGA